RNAcentral lists this ribosomal RNA (253 nucleotides) under uncultured bacterium. RNAcentral describes it as "partial 16S ribosomal RNA". It matches the Rfam family "Bacterial small subunit ribosomal RNA", at positions 524 to 776 of the family's 1533-position model. The record is from RNAcentral.
UACAGAGGUCUCGAGCGUUAGGCGGAAUCACUGGGCUUAAAGCGUGUGUAGGCGGAUUGCUAAGUACCUUGUGAAAUCCCCAGGCUCAACCUGGGAACUGCGUCUGAUACUGGAUGGCUUGAAUCCGGGAGAGGGAUGCAGAAUUCCAGGUGUAGCGGUGAAAUGCGUAGAUAUCUGGAGGAAUACCGGUGGCGAAGGCGGCAUCCUGGACCGGCAUUGACGCUGAGGAGCGAAAGCCAGGGGAGCAAACGGG